GAUGAACGCUGGCGGCGUGCCUAAUACAUGCAAGUCGAGCGAACAGACGAGGAGCUUGCUCCUCUGACGUUAGCGGCGGACGGGUGAGUAACACGUGGAUAACCUCCCUAUAAGACUGGGAUAACUUCGGGAAACCGGAGCUAAUACCGGAUAAUAUAUUGAACCGCAUGGUUCAAUAGUGAAAGACGGUUUUGCUGUCACUUAUAGAUGGAUCCGCGCCGCAUUAGCUAGUUGGUAAGGUAACGGCUUACCAAGGCGACGAUGCGUAGCCGACCUGAGAGGGUGAUCGGCCACACUGGAACUGAGACACGGUCCAGACUCCUACGGGAGGCAGCAGUAGGGAAUCUUACGCAAUGGGCGAAAGCCUGACGGAGCAACGCCGCGUGAGUGAUGAAGGUCUUCGGAUAGUAAAACUCUGUUAUUAGGGAAGAACAAAUGUGUAAGUAACUAUGCACGUCUUGACGGUACCUAAUCAGAAAGCCACGGCUAACUACGUG
Molecule: ribosomal RNA, 497 nt
Filed under: uncultured bacterium
Lineage: Bacteria
Description: partial 16S ribosomal RNA
Rfam family: Bacterial small subunit ribosomal RNA
Source: RNAcentral